RNAcentral lists this transfer RNA (73 nucleotides) under bacterium. RNAcentral's name for it is "tRNA-Lys". It matches the Rfam family "tRNA". Rfam says of the family: Transfer RNA (tRNA) molecules are approximately 80 nucleotides in length. Their secondary structure includes four short double-helical elements and three loops (D, anti-codon, and T loops). RNAcentral also lists the same sequence under 1 other name. The record is from RNAcentral.
GGGGCAAUAACUCAGUUGGUAGAGUAACGGCCUUUUAAGCCGUGAGUCGGGAGUUCGAAUCUCCCUUGCCCUA